UUCAGUAUUUUUUCCCACCCCUAUAGAAUAUGGUUUGUGUUAAUUUUACAUAUAUAAAAUAGGGUAAAUUACACAGUAGCCCCUCAGGUUUUAAGGUCUAUUACAACCCCAUACAACAACUUUAAAACAUUUCACUUUCAUACCUCAAGUACUAUUUUAUUUCAAUAUAAUACAUCCGUUAGAUUUUUCAUCAAUUAAUCCGUUAAAUGCUGACGUGGCUGC
RNAcentral lists this long non-coding RNA (222 nucleotides) under Malus domestica (apple). RNAcentral describes it as "long non-coding RNA (MDOM_LNC016582)". Lineage: Eukaryota; Viridiplantae; Streptophyta; Magnoliopsida; Rosales; Rosaceae. The record is from RNAcentral.